GAUUAACGUUGGCAGUAUGCCUAACACAUGCAAGUCGCGCGAUAUAGCGGCAGACGAGAGAGUAAUAGUAAGGAACUUACCCCCAAGUGAAGGAUAGCCCCGCGAAAGCGGGGGUAAUCCUGCAUAAUAUCGAAAGAUCAAAGCGCUUGCGCGCUUGGGGGAGAGGCCUUACUCCUAUCAGCUUGUUGGUGAGGUAAUGGCUCACCAAGGCAAUGACGGGUAGCUGGUCUGAGAGGAUGAUCAGCCUCGAUGGGACUGAGACACGGCCCAUACUCCUACGGGAGGCAGCAGUUGGGAAUUUUGCACAAUGGGCGCAAGCCUGAUGCAGCAAUACUGCGUGAAGGAUGAAGGUUUUCGGAUUGUAAACUUCUUUUAUCAGGGAAGAAUCUUGACUGUACCUGAUGAAUAAGCACCGGCUAACUACGUG
This 427-nucleotide ribosomal RNA is filed under the name uncultured bacterium. RNAcentral describes it as "bacterial SSU rRNA". It matches the Rfam family "Bacterial small subunit ribosomal RNA", at positions 28 to 507 of the family's 1533-position model. The record is from RNAcentral.